GAAGCCGGAAUUGCUAGUAAUGGCAGGUCAGCAUACUGCCGUGAAUACGUUCCCGGGCCUUGUACACACCGCCCGUCACACCAUGAGAGUUGGGGAUACCCGAAGCCUGUGAGCUAACUAUUUAUAGGAGCAGCGGUCGAAGGUAGAAUCAAUGAUUGGGGUGAAGUCGUAACAAGGUAAC
RNAcentral lists this ribosomal RNA (181 nucleotides) under uncultured bacterium. RNAcentral's name for it is "partial 16S ribosomal RNA". It matches the Rfam family "Bacterial small subunit ribosomal RNA", at positions 1322 to 1500 of the family's 1533-position model. The record is from RNAcentral.